ACGUGAGUAAUCUGCCCUUCACUUCGGGAUAACCGCCGGAAACGGUGGCUAAUACCGGAUACGACGCGCUUUCGCAUGAGAUGCGCGUGGAAAGUCUUAUCGGUGGAGGAUGUGCUCGCGGCCUAUCAGCUUGUUGGUGAGGUAACGGCUCACCAAGGCUUCGACGGGUAGCCGGCCUGAGAGGGUGACCGGCCACACUGGGACUGAGACACGGCCCAGACUCCUACGGGAGGCAGCAGUGGGGAAUAUUGGACAAUGGGCGAAAGCCUGAUCCAGCAACGCCGCGUGAGGGAUGACGGC
This 300-nucleotide ribosomal RNA is filed under the name uncultured Nocardioidaceae bacterium. Its description in RNAcentral is "bacterial SSU rRNA". It matches the Rfam family "Bacterial small subunit ribosomal RNA", at positions 115 to 415 of the family's 1533-position model. Lineage: Bacteria; Bacillati; Actinomycetota; Actinomycetes; Propionibacteriales; Nocardioidaceae. The record is from RNAcentral.